CACCUAAUACAUCUCUGCAAAAUGGGAAAGACUGCUUCUUUAAAAUUAUGACCAAAAUAUACUUGACCUAUUAAUAACUAAACAAUAUCUUAUAUAAUUUGAAAAUGAAUAGUAGGCUAUAUAAUGAAAAAAAAAAAGCAUAAUUUUGGAGAAAUGUGGUGCUGUUAUGGCUACAGUUAUAAAGAGCGUCCCAAUAAUACUUUCUCAUUUGAAGUAUUAAAUAACUGGUUUUGAGAAAUAUGACAUAGAAUCAAAUAGGAGAUAAAGAUACUCCAACAAGUAGGGUCAACAAUAGAUAAUCACUUCUAAAGAUUUAGGAGUAUUACCAAAAUGUUCAUUCAUUCAGA
RNAcentral lists this long non-coding RNA (347 nucleotides) under Bos taurus (domestic cattle). RNAcentral's name for it is "long non-coding RNA NONBTAT000268". The record is from RNAcentral. Lineage: Eukaryota; Metazoa; Chordata; Mammalia; Artiodactyla; Bovidae.